This 482-nucleotide long non-coding RNA is filed under the name Homo sapiens (human). RNAcentral describes it as "non-protein coding lnc-RBL2-1:8". The record is from RNAcentral. Lineage: Eukaryota; Metazoa; Chordata; Mammalia; Primates; Hominidae.
GAGACACAGCGGAGAUAGCGCGCCUGCUAAAGGCUGCCGCCGCCAACACCUUAGGUGAAUACCGAGCUCCAGGAAGGUCGCUGUGGGUAGGGCAUGUGGGAAACGAGGCCAGGGGGAGAAGGAGGCCUCAACGUGGCCAAAGCACCUUGAUGAUGCGCUCUGUCCCCGGAGGCGCGUUCCACGGCCGCUGCCGGCACCUAGGCAGAGGGAUACGUUCCAGAAACACCUCAGCUUAGCGCGGGGAUGGCCUUCUUGUGCGUGAGUCCCUCUGCACACGGGAACUGUGCGCCCUGGGCACUGCACCUUCCAGUAUGUGGGCCGGAGAGGCGGGGGAUCUUGCCCAGCGGGUCCGACAGGGCAUGGAAGGAAGUAAAUGGAAGCCGGUGACCUGGUCUUUCCCACAGUAUGUUGGCUGGGUACAAAGAGUGAAUGAAGAAUGACUGAGAGAAUGAGAGACAGAGAGAGCACAUGUGCCAGUCAGG